UACGAAGGGGGCUAGCGUUGCUCGGAAUCACUGGGCGUAAAGCGCACGUAGGCGGAUCUUUAAGUCAGGGGGGAAAUCCUGGAGCUCAACUCCAGAACUGCCUUUGAUACUGGGGAUCUCGAGUCCGGGAGAGGUGAGUGGAACUGCGAGUGUAGAGGUGAAAUUCGUAGAUAUUCGCAAGAACACCAGUGGCGAAGGCGGCUCACUGGCCCGGUACUGACGCUGAGGUGCGAAAGCGUGGGGAGCAAACAGG
RNAcentral lists this ribosomal RNA (253 nucleotides) under uncultured bacterium. RNAcentral's name for it is "partial 16S ribosomal RNA". It matches the Rfam family "Bacterial small subunit ribosomal RNA", at positions 524 to 776 of the family's 1533-position model. The record is from RNAcentral.